Molecule: transfer RNA, 71 nt
Filed under: Endomicrobium sp.
Lineage: Bacteria; Pseudomonadati; Elusimicrobiota; Endomicrobiia; Endomicrobiales; Endomicrobiaceae
Description: tRNA-Ala
Rfam family: tRNA
About the family: Transfer RNA (tRNA) molecules are approximately 80 nucleotides in length.
Source: RNAcentral
GGGGCCAUAGUUAAAUGGGAGAACGUAUCGUUCGCAACGAUAAGGUGUGGGUUCGAUUCCCGCUGGCUCCA